CUACAGGCUUCUUUAGAAGCCACAGUUACAAGAUUAUAGAAUAUAU
Molecule: non-coding RNA, 46 nt
Organism: Canis lupus familiaris (dog)
Lineage: Eukaryota; Metazoa; Chordata; Mammalia; Carnivora; Canidae
Source: Rfam